CCCUUAGAUGUUCUGGGCCGCACGCGUGCUACACUGAGUGGAUCAGCGGGUCAGGUUGCACGAAAGCGUUUCCUAAUCUUUAAAUCCGCUCGUGAUGGGGAUUGACGGUUGCAAUUUUCUGUCAUGAACGAGGAAUACCUUGUAAGCGCGGGUCAUCAUCCCGCGCUGAAUACGUCCCUGCCCUUUGUACACACCGCCCGUCGCUCCUACCGAUUGAGUGGUCCGGUGAGGCUUUGGGAUCUGAGCGGAAAGAGCGUUUCGCUGUUUCUGCUCGGAAAACUCAGUCGAACCUUAACAUUUAGAGGAAGGAGAAGUCGUAACA
Molecule: ribosomal RNA, 322 nt
Filed under: uncultured eukaryote
Lineage: Eukaryota
Description: partial 18S ribosomal RNA
Rfam family: Eukaryotic small subunit ribosomal RNA
Source: RNAcentral